AAAACAUCCAUAUAGCUAAGUUUAUUUUUCUAUUGAAUGAAGUGAAUAGCAUGCUUUCUUUAAAAAAAAAAAAAAAUCUCUUAGCCUCCGUUUGGUUGGGGAUUAAGGGAUGGAAUAACCCUUAAACCCUAUUUUAUCUCCAAACAUUUUUAAAAAUAGGUGGGGUUAGCUAACCCCAGCUAAUCCCACCUCAAAUGGAUUAUUCCGGAUUAGCUAACCCCACCUAACCUCAUCAAAUCCCAACUAAACAUUAUUUUCUAUUCAUAAUAACCCACUAUCCUUCUUAUCCCACCUACUCCAACUAAAUACUAUUUUUCACUAUCCUGAACUAACUCCAACCCCCAACCAAAUACAAAAAUACUCUAAUCCCAUAUUAACCAUAAACUUAACCCUAUUUUUAGAAUAACUAGUUUUUUCUUAACCCCGAACCAAACGGUAGCUUAGAAAAAAAGA
RNAcentral lists this long non-coding RNA (453 nucleotides) under Ananas comosus (pineapple). RNAcentral's name for it is "long non-coding RNA (ACOM_LNC039501)". The record is from RNAcentral. Lineage: Eukaryota; Viridiplantae; Streptophyta; Magnoliopsida; Poales; Bromeliaceae.